Molecule: unclassified non-coding RNA, 1102 nt
Filed under: Melitaea cinxia (Glanville fritillary)
Lineage: Eukaryota; Metazoa; Arthropoda; Insecta; Lepidoptera; Nymphalidae
Description: misc RNA ENSMCXG00005000330.1
Source: RNAcentral
CUCCUAUUUACUUUCACUAGAUCUAACAGAAAAAUGUUUUAUCUUUGUUGAUGCAGUUGCUGGUUGUUCUAACAUUUCAGGAUAGUUUUUUUUUUUUUUUAGAUCAUAUGAAAGUACAUUUUGUCUCCUUGUACAAAUAAUUUUCUUAAAAUUGCAAGGGAAUAAUUAAUGCGAACGCUUGACAAAAUAGUGACUGGCGCCUCUAUAUUAAUUAGAGGCGUCUUAAAUCACCAAUAUCAACCAGGUACAGUUGGAAUGAUUUUUGACUUAUUGCUAGAGGAAUCAGGUAUUUUUUAUUUAGAUUUCUGAAUGACAGUAGAAGAAUCAGUCCUCGUUCGGCUUUCCGUUUUUUUUAAUAUAAAGGCUGACAACCUUCUGAAUCGUAUGAGGAAAUCAGCCUAAACGGCUUUUUGAGAUGUGGCUUUAUCAGAAGGUAUUUUCUAGUUUCAAAACAGUAUCAAAACUGUUGUGUUUCUUAUUAAAAAUAAAAACGGCUGAUGACUUCAGAUACGUUUCAUUACCUUGUGGACGCGACAUUCAUUGUUACAAGUCUGACAGCUAAGUGGGCGAGGGACGAACGACAGUUGACAAGACAUUACAGAUUAUAAUUACAUAGGUAUUUAAAUAGACUAUAAAUAUUAUUUAGGUAUUUUGUACUUAGAUUUCUGAAUGACAGUAGAAGAAUCAGUCCUCGUUCGGCUUUCCGUUUUUUUGAAUAUAAAGGCUGACAACCUUCUGAAUCGUAUAAGGAAAUCAGCCUAAACGGCUUUUUGAGAUGUGGCUUUAUCAGAAGGUGUUUUCUAGUGUCAAAAUAGUAUCAAAACCCUCUCAAGCUUGAGCUAUUACAAAAAAAGCUCAGAACACGAUACUUCAUUUGGGCAGUUUUCUAACUCGGCUUGUACCUGGUGAAUCUUCAUCGUACUUAUUUUACACCCUGUAUAUAUUUAUCAUUACUAUUGCAAUGUAUGUUAUUGGGCACUUAUAGUGCCACUUUCUCCCAAUCAUAAUAAAAUACUCAAGGAGCGUAAAACACAAGACAUACAAUAAAUCCUCCGUAAAAACUGUGGUUACAGUUUCAGAUCGGUUUAUUUUUUGUAUAUUU